GAUGAACGCUGGCGGCGUGCCUAAUACAUGCAAGUCGAGCGAACAGACGAGGAGCUUGCUCCUCUGACGUUAGCGGCGGACGGGUGAGUAACACGUGGAUAACCUACCUAUAAGACUGGGAUAACUUCGGGAAACCGGAGCUAAUACCGGAUAAUAUAUUGAACCGCAUGGUUCAAUAGUGAAAGACGGUUUUGCUGUCACUUAUAGAUGGAUCCGCGCCGCAUUAGCUAGUUGGUAAGGUAACGGCUUACCAAGGCAACGAUGCGUAGCCGACCUGAGAGGGUGAUCGGCCACACUGGAACUGAGACACGGUCCAGACUCCUAAGGGAGGCAGCAGUAGGGAAUCGGCCGCAAUGGGCGAAAGCCUGACGGAGCAACGCCGCGUGAGUGAUGAAGGUCUUCGGAUCGUAAAACUCUGUUAUUAGGGAAGAACAAAUGUGGAAGUAACUAUGCACGUCUUGACGGUACCGAAUCAGAAAGCAACGGCUAACUACGUG
This 497-nucleotide ribosomal RNA is filed under the name uncultured bacterium. Its description in RNAcentral is "partial 16S ribosomal RNA". It matches the Rfam family "Bacterial small subunit ribosomal RNA", at positions 28 to 507 of the family's 1533-position model. The record is from RNAcentral.